This 253-nucleotide ribosomal RNA is filed under the name uncultured bacterium. RNAcentral's name for it is "partial 16S ribosomal RNA". It matches the Rfam family "Bacterial small subunit ribosomal RNA", at positions 524 to 776 of the family's 1533-position model. The record is from RNAcentral.
UACGGAGGGUGCAAGCGUUGUCCGGAUUUAUUGGGUUUAAAGGGUGCGUAGGCGGCUAAUUAAGUCAGUGGUGAAAUCCGGCAGCUCAACUGUCGAACCGCCAAUGAUACUGAAUAGCUUGAGUACAAACGAGGUAUAUGGAAUUUAUGGUGUAGCGGUGAAAUGCAUAGAUACCAUAAAGAACUCCGAUAGCGAAGGCAGUAUACUAGAUUGUAACUGACGCUGAGGCACGAAAGCAUGGGGAUCAAACAGG